RNAcentral lists this ribosomal RNA (253 nucleotides) under uncultured bacterium. RNAcentral describes it as "partial 16S ribosomal RNA". It matches the Rfam family "Bacterial small subunit ribosomal RNA", at positions 524 to 776 of the family's 1533-position model. The record is from RNAcentral.
UACGUAGGGUGCGAGCGUUAAUCGGAAUUACUGGGCGUAAAGCGUGCGCAGGCGGUUUUGUAAGUCAGGUGUGAAAUCCCCGGGCUUAACCUGGGAACUGCGUUUGAAACUACAAGGCUAGAGUGUGGCAGAGGGGGGUGGAAUUCCACGUGUAGCAGUGAAAUGCGUAGAGAUGUGGAGGAACACCGAUGGCGAAGGCAGCCCCCUGGGUUAACACUGACGCUCAGGCACGAAAGCGUGGGGAGCAAACAGG